GCAAAGAUGUCAGCCUCCAUGAAAGCAAUUUUGCAUCCAAUUUUACAUUAUUUGUUUUUGUUUUUGUCAGUUUACACAUUGAUGCACAGUGUACAUUGUAUAUUUCAGAGGAUAUAACAGGUUGUUAAAAAACUUAAGUUUGCACAAAUUUAAGAACACUAAAGUAUUUGCUUUUUUUGCAUAGAACUUUUGUAAAAAAGUGUGAAAUUGGAAAACUUAUUUUUCGUGUUUGCUAUAGUCUUACAUAGUCUUACAUAGUCUGUAACUGAGCGCUGGAUCACUCCACUAUGCUCAGAUCUUCAGUUAUUUGCUGCUUGUUUGUUCGGUUCAUGUGUCAGUUUGCUCUAUAGUUAUAUUCAUUUCACUAUUGUCCAAUAUUUAUCUAGGCGGCUUUCAAAUGUCUGAAUAGUUGGUGCAUUUACAACGCUGCUGGGUAAGCUGUUCCAUAUUGGUGCAAUUCGUUGUGUGAAGAAGUUGGAUCUUAUGUUUUUGUUGCAUCUUUGGAUAGUAAGUUUUUUGUUGUGUCCUCUAGUAGCAGAAGUGGUGUUAUAUGUGAGUAGGUUAGGUAACGCUUCGUCAUAUAUUCCCGAUGUUAAUUUGUAAGCUUCUAUCAUAUCACCUCUCAUUCGUCUGUAUUUAAGUGUUGGUAAUUUAAGCUUCUUCAACCGUUGUUCGUACUCUAGAUCUUUCAAUGUUGGUAUCAAUUUUGUUGCUCGCCUUUGAACAUUUUCAAGUGCUGUUAUAUCUUUAACUUUGAAUGGGCUCCAUAUAGCAUUGGCAUAUUCGAGGUUUGGUCUUGCUAGUGCUUUAUAAAGUAAUAAGAACAUUUCCUCAUUGAGGCAGGUAAAUGUCCUUCUAAUUUAGUCCCAUAAUACUAUUGGCCUUAUUUAUUUUUUCAUUCAUAUGUUGUUCGAAAUUUAGUUUGUUAUCAAUGGUUACUCCUAUGUCUUUUUCUUUGUCAACAUGUUCUAGUGUGGUGUUACACAGGUUGUAUUUAUGGUUGUUAUCAUGUUGUUUCCCUGUUGUUAGGACUUUACAUUUAUCUGGGUGAAAUCUUAGCAACCAAGUAUUUGACCAAGAUUCUAGACAAUUUCCGGAUUUUGUUCAUUUCCGUUACCGGUAACCGUCGAUAAUUUCGUUUCAUGUAAAACUUCCUGUUUCAAAUUUUAGUUUUCAUAUUUCGUAGAGUAUUCUUACUGAAUGAUUAAGUCGAUAUAUUCUGCUGAUCUAUGAUGACAACAUCAUUUACCGAGAAUAGAGAGGGCGUGAAAUAUUCGGGUUACGAGUAAUACGCUGUGUCCAAGAACGCAAAUCGCCGUAGCGUAUGUCACAAAUGACACAAAUGUUUGUGAGUAAAACACCUUGGAUUUAUUUUAUUUAUGCAAUAACUUUGUGUCAAAAAAUUUGGACUGUGAAUGAAACCCAAAAGUGUUAGAAUCGUGGAACACAUUUGACCGGAAUAAAGAAAAUGACACAAGCAUGAACUUUUUAGAUUGGUGACCGUAUAUUGAGUUAAAAAAAAUCAACAAACAUACGCUUUUUUAAUUUAUUAAUUCAUAGCAAGCUCUUAGAUUUAGAUUUAGCUUUUAUAUUUAUAAUUUUGAGAAAGCGGAACCAGCAUAUGGAGUAUAUGUGUCUCAAUUGAUACGUUACUCUAGAGCUAGCUCAAAGUACGUUGAUUUUGUUGAAAGAGGAAUACUACUUUCUCAAAAGUUGCUAAGACAGGGCUAUGAAUCAAUCAAAUUAAGGUCAUCACUCAAGCAAUUUAAUGGUCGUCAUCAUGACCUGACUGGCCAUUAUGACAAAAGUGUGUCAGAAAUCAUGUCUCAGUGAUAUUCUUCCUCAGUAAUAACAACCUUUCAUCAUUACCGAACUGAACAAAGAAAUAACCCGACGUGUGCCGUAUACGGUGCAGGAAAUGCUUACCAUUCCGGAGCACCAGAUUUCACCCCUGGUUUUUAGUGGAGUUCGUGUUGUUUCCUACUUAUUAUUUGUAACUUGAUGUAAAUGUCUUUUGGUUUUAUGAGUCUUUGGUUACUCCUUGGUUUUGAUUGUUAUUGUCUGAUACACGAUACCUUAUGGAUGUAUUUACAUGAUAUAAGCUUAUUAUAACACUUGCAUAUAUAAAUAACACAUGACAAAAAGUUUCAUAUGAAAUAAAAUUUAAAAAAUAAAUCCUCCCCCGCCCAUUUUUUCAAAAAUUGGAUGAAAUCUACUUAUUAAUUUUAGUUGGCCUAAUAGUAACACAGUGAAUAAAUUAGUGGCAAAUUCAUUUUAAAGAUAUAAAGGCGAAUUCCUAAAGGUCAAAGACCAAAAAUCUUGUCUUUUUUCAUUUUGUGAAUUACCUAAAAAGUGAAUAUGUGACCUAAUCUGUAAAUGUUAUCAUAUUAAAUAUUGAUCAGUAGACCAAAAUUUAAAAAAAAUAUAUAAAAAAUAACUGCUCAAAGUAAAAAUCAUAAAAUUCUUAUUUGCAUGUAAAAAGUCUUAUAAACUGUAAACUUCCCAUGUAAAAGUCAAAAUAAAACCUGUAAACAUGGUAAACCUCCCUUGUAAAAACACAUAAAGACGUAAAAGAUGUAAAUAGUGUACAUAAUGUUGUUGUGUUAUGAUUGUUAAUUUAUUGUUAAUUUAUUUUUUUGGUGGUGGAACUGUUCGACAUACGAAAGUAAGGUUACCCUAUAAAGGGUGUAAAGAUCCAGAGAAGAAGAAGAAGAACAUUGACAAAGGGAUCUGUCUCAUAAUAAACCAUUCAAUGAGUUAUAUUUAAUUUAUCAAAACCAAACUGUCACCAUUUCCUUUGCUUAUCUCAUUUUGUAAAGAUCGUGUGGAGACAUGUAGGCAGUUGCCUCCUAUGGCAGGCAGACCCAAAAGAAAUCUAAACUUUGGUAAAAUGUUUAUGAUGAUUAAAAGCAAUGAAGUAAAUCAGGGUUUAAAAGGUCCAUUUACAUAACCUUUUUAAUCAUCUUUUUUAAUAAAACGUCAAUUCUAUAAAAGUGCAAUAAAGUUAUUUUUUAAAGAAAUAGAAAUAGCCUUAUAAUUACCGCCUCUAAGGCCAAUUUUUUUCUUUCUUAAAUACAGAGCCAAGAUAAGAUUUAUCAUCCUGUUUUCUUGAAAUUUAAGCUAUUUUGCUCCUUUUUUUUUGCCUAUUGUUUAUUUACAUUUAAGCACCCCAUUAUUCUUUAUUACUGCUGAAAAUUCAGAAAUUAUUGCUUGCACUUACAGACUUUAUUGCAUAAUGGGAAUCUGAGACACAUGACUGGAGAAUUUGCAACAUUUGAACUAUCUCUUUUCCUUUCAUUUGAGGUGUCAAGAUAUUACUUUUUCACAUCAAAUUCGACAGGAACUUCUGUGAUGUCCUGCUAUUCCGGACAAAAAGUGAUAGUUUUUUUUGAGAUUAUUAAACAAUGAACAAAAAUGUGAGGUCAAUUAUUGUGAUUUCAAGAAAUGAUGCAUAUAAAUAUUCAUUUUAAAAUACAAGUUUACAUUUUUGCAAAACCAAACCUGUUGCAAUUUUUAAAACUAAAUAACAUUGAUAACAAUCGUUUCUGUUUGUAUUAUUUUUAUUGAAUCUUAUUUAGUUAGUUAGUUUUUUAUACUAUCGCCAAAAUUGUAUCAUGUUGUCGUUUUCGUAGUCCCGUCAUUGUUGUCAUCAGCAGCAUCGUUCGAAGACAGAUAGUUUCCGAAUAAUAACUUAUAGAAAUCAAUAAAACUUUACCACAAGGUGUAUGUAUAUAACCACUAAAGGAAGGUUCGGAUUGAUUUUGGGGGUUAUAGUCUAACAUUAUGGAAUAAGGGGCCAAAAAGGGGCGUAAAUAAGCAUUUUUAUACGACCGCAAAAAAGUUUUUGGGAUCGUAUACUUUGUAUGAUGUCGUCCAAAGACACAUUUGGUUUCUGGACAAUAACUUUAGUUUAAGUCUAUGGAUCUCUAUGAAAUUUGAGAAGAAGGCUUAAUACCACAAAAGGAAGUUUGGAAUUGAUUUUGGGAAUGCUGGUCCCAACCAUUUAGGAAUUACAUGUAGGGGCCCAAAAGGGACAAAAACAAGCAUUUUUCUACUUUCAGGUUAAUAACUUGUGUAUAAGUAUUUCAAUUGCCCUGAAAUUGUACCACAAUGUUUAAUACCACAAGUAGAAGGUUUAAAUUCUUUUUGGGGUUAUGGUGCUAACAGUUAAGGAAAUAAGGACCAAAAAGGUCCUAAAAACAAACAUUUUUGUAGUUUCUUGACAAUCACUAAAGGAAGGCUGGGAUUGAGUUUUAAGGUAAUUGCCAAAUUCAUCAUGUUCAUGCAGAAAUCGUGGGCCAAAAACAAGCAUUUUUCUAGUUACGAGACAAUAACUUGUGUUUAAGAGUAUGGAUCUCUCUGCAAUUGUACUACAAGGUUCCAUACUACAAAGGAAAGGCUGGGAUUCAGUUUUGGGGUAAUUGCUCCAAGGGGGUAUUCAAAAGUUUGGGGGUUUUAAUUUUUCUUAAGGGGUUCAAAUUUCUUUUUCAAAAUUUGUCAAAUUUCAAGGAAUAGAUUACCUUAGCCGUAUUCAUGGUAUUUGGCACAACUUUUUGGAAUUUUGUGUCCUCAAUGCCCUUCAACUUUGAACUUGUUUGGCUUUAUAACUAUUUUGAUAUGAGCGUCACUGAUAAGUCUCAUGUAGACGAAACGUGAGUCUGGCGUACUAAAUUAUAAUCCUUGUACUUUUGAUAACUAUUAAAAAGAAGAUUUUCAGGAAGAAUCUUUAAUUGCACAGUAUUGCGCAAUAGAUUUGUAAGAUCUUGACAUUUAUUUUGUGUCAAAAACCUAUGUCAAAAAUUGAUCACAAUCCAAAUUCAGACAGUAUCAAGCUUGAAUAUUGUGUCCAAAUUUGCCCCAACUGUUCAGGGUUUAACAUCUCUGGUCGCAUGUGAGGCUGCACUCAGCACAACAAUUUAUUGUAGUUGCCAGACAAUAACUUGUGUUUAAGUGUAUGAAUCUCUCUGAAAUUAUACCACAAGUUUCCAUACUUCAAUGGGAUGGUUUUGGAUUAACUUUGGGGGUUAUGGUUCAAACCAUUUAGUAAUUAGGGGCAAACAAAGGGGAAAAACAAGGGUUUUUCUGGUUAAAGGACAAUUGAGACAAUUUUAAAAGCAGUGUAAGGGAGGUAAUCCAAAUCAAUUUAAAGAACAUUGUUUGAUUAUCUCCCUUACACUGCUUGUAAAUUAUGUAUUUAAAAGAAAUGAUGAUUAGAUAUAGGAAGAUGUGGUGUGAGUGCCAAUGAGACAACUCUCCAUCCAAUUAACAAUUUAUAAAAGUAAACCAUUUUAGGUCAAUGUACGGCCUUCAACAAGGAGCCCUGGCUCACACCAAAAAAGUUACAACAAGCUAUAAAGGACCCCAGAAUUACUAGUGUAAAACAAUUCAAACAGGAAACAAUCUAUAUAUAAAAAAACAAGAAAGAAAACACGUAUAAAUACAUUAAAAACGACAACUACUGUACAUCGUUCCUGACUUAGGACAAGUGCAAACAUAUGCAGCGGGAUUAAAAGUUUUAAUAGUACCAAACCUUCUCCCUUUUUCUUAAACAAUAGCAUGCCAUAACAUCAGAACAUAGAAAAACACACGAUAAGAUAUCAGUCGGAAGACUUAACUUUAAUCAAAAAACGCAAAUUAACACACUAUGAACGAAUAAAUUUGAUCUGCAAUACCUGAAUGCAGAUUCAUAGUUAAUAAAAUAUUAGGGACAAACAUUCAAGGCCAAAAAGCAAACAAAUAAAUCCAAACAAAGCCAUGGCAAGACACAACCGCCAAAUAUUUAACCCUUCGAAAAUAAUCACGGUUUUCAUAAUAUAUACAGGUAAAUGAAAAAUAACUUUGUCGUUUUAGGUAUACUACUUAUGUGUAUAUAAAAACUACCUGCUAGUCUGACUCUGACAAGAUGUUUUUGUUAUUACUUGGUUGUUUUGUAAAUAGCACUGCAUAAUCUGAUGUUUCCAUUUAUUAAAUUAAUAUGAUUAACAAGAAAAAUUAUGCAAGAGGUUCUUUUAUAUCCUAUGAACUACAAUCUUUGAUCUUGAUAUGAUGUAUAUUUUACAGAUUAUUUACUAUGCAGGAAGUGUAGCCAUGAAAUUGCUUUGAUCUUGAUAUGAUAGAUAUAGGAGGAUGUGGUAUGAGUGCCAAUGUGACAUCUCUCAAUCCAAAUAACAAUUAAUAAAAGUAAACCAUUACAGGUCAAGGUGUAUAUUUUACAGAUUCUUUGAUCUUGAUAUCAUGUUAAUUUAUACCCAUUUAUGGGCAUCAUGUUUUCUGGUAUGUGCGUCCGUUUGUUCGUCCGUCUGUCCGCCUGCCUGUUUGUCCUUCCACCUGUUCGUCCGUCUGUCCUGCUUCAGGUUUAAGUUUUUGGUCCAGGUUAAAGUUUUUGGUCCAGGUGGUUUUUGAUGAAACUUACUACACCUUUUUCCUAUGAUAUGAUCUUUCUAAUUUUAAUUCUUGAUAUCAUGUACAUGUAUAUUUUACAGAUUAUUUGAUCUUGAUAUCAUGUACAUGUAUAUUUUUACAGAUUAUUUGAUCUUGAUAUAUAUAAUGUAUAUUUUACAGAUUAUUUGCUCUGCAGGAAGUGUGGCCAUGAGAUAGCUAGGGGAACUGAUCUGACUGCGGUGCCUUCUAAAUUAGCACAUCGACAGAGAAAUGAUACCAUAUCAGGAGUCAAAGAUGUUCUAAUACAGCUGUUUCAAAAUCCACAUGGU
RNAcentral lists this long non-coding RNA (6710 nucleotides) under Mytilus galloprovincialis (Mediterranean mussel). Lineage: Eukaryota; Metazoa; Mollusca; Bivalvia; Mytilida; Mytilidae. The record is from RNAcentral.